AUGGUCUGUGAUCUGCAGAUAUAUAGUAGGAACAAGUGCGAUUUGGAUUUCCUUUUUGUUUGUCUUAUGUGUCGCUUUGAGAUGAUGAGGCCGAGAUAUGGCCUCGCUGCUGUGCGUCAGAACCAUGGCUCGAAUGUGUGUACCAGCCUCUAUCAGACCUGGCCUCUAAGCAUAUCCUUCCAAGCUAUGGUGGUGCACAUGCUAGGCUACUCAUUUGGUGCAGCCACCCCCCCCCCCUCUUUCCAACAAAGCAAGUUUUUUCGUUCAGAUUUUAGACCUCUUGAGUUCCAGUUUAGUUCAAUAAAGGAAAGCUUUCUCUUCAUGGUUUGCUCCUUAUGA
Molecule: ribosomal RNA, 339 nt
Filed under: Triticum aestivum (bread wheat)
Lineage: Eukaryota; Viridiplantae; Streptophyta; Magnoliopsida; Poales; Poaceae
Description: partial small subunit ribosomal RNA
Source: RNAcentral